GACGAACGCUGGCUGCGUGCUUAACACAUGCAAGUCGAACGCUGAAGCCUGGUGCUUGCACCGGGUGGAUGAGUGGCGAACGGGUGAGUAACACGUGAGUAACCUGCCCCUGACUUCGGGAUAAGCCCGGGAAACUGGGUCUAAUACCGGAUACGACUGCCGGACGCAUGUCUGGUGGUGGAAAGUUUUUUCGGUUGGGGAUGGGCUCGCGGCCUAUCAGUUUGUUGGUGAGGUAAUGGCUCACCAAGACGACGACGGGUAGCCGGCCUGAGAGGGCGACCGGCCACACUGGGACUGAGACACGGCCCAGACUCCUACGGGAGGCAGCAGUGGGGAAUAUUGCACAAUGGGGGAAACCCUGAUGCAGCGACGCAGCGUGCGGGAUGACGGCCUUCGGGUUGUAAACCGCUUUCAGCAGGGAAGAAGCGCAAGUGACGGUACCUGCAGAAGAAGUACCGGCUAACUACGUGCCAGCAGCCGCGGUAAUACGUAGGGUACGAGCGCUGUCCGGAAUUAUUGGGCGUAAAGAGCUCGUAGGUGGUUGGUCACGUCUGCUGUGGAAACGCAACGCUUAACGUUGCGCGUGCAGUGGGUACGGGCUGACUAGAGUGCAGUAGGGGAGUCUGGAAUUCCUGGUGUAGCGGUGAAAUGCGCAGAUAUCAGGAGGAACACCGGUGGCGAAGGCGGGACUCUGGGCUGUAACUGACACUGAGGAGCGAAAGCAUGGGGAGCGAACAGGAUUAGAUACCCUGGUAGUCCAUGCCGUAAACGUUGGGCACUAGGUGUGGGGGGCAUUCCACGUUCUCCGCGCCGUAGCUAACGCAUUAAGUGCCCCGCCUGGGGAGUACGGUCGCAAGGCUAAAACUCAAAGGAAUUGACGGGGGCCCGCACAAGCGGCGGAGCAUGCGGAUUAAUUCGAUGCAACGCGAAGAACCUUACCAAGGCUUGACAUACACCGGACCGUCCUGGAAACAGGUCUUCUUCUUUGAAGCUGGUGUACAGGUGGUGCAUGGUUGUCGUCAGCUCGUGUCGUGAGAUGUUGGGUUAAGUCCCGCAACGAGCGCAACCCUCGUUCUAUGUUGCCAGCACGUGAUGGUGGGAACUCAUAGGAGACUGCCGGGGUCAACUCGGAGGAAGGUGGGGAUGACGUCAAAUCAUCAUGCCCUUUAUGUCUUGGGCUUCACGCAUGCUACAAUGGCUGGUACAGAGAGAGGCGAACCCGUGAGGGCAAGCGAAUCCCUUAAAGCCAGUCUCAGUUCGGAUCGUAGUCUGCAAUUCGACUACGUGAAGUCGGAGUCGCUAGUAAUCGCAGAUCAGCAACGCUGCGGUGAAUACGUUCCCGGGCCU
This 1347-nucleotide ribosomal RNA is filed under the name uncultured bacterium. RNAcentral's name for it is "bacterial SSU rRNA". It matches the Rfam family "Bacterial small subunit ribosomal RNA", at positions 28 to 1381 of the family's 1533-position model. The record is from RNAcentral.